Molecule: small RNA, 28 nt
Filed under: Bombyx mori (domestic silkworm)
Lineage: Eukaryota; Metazoa; Arthropoda; Insecta; Lepidoptera; Bombycidae
Description: ovarian small RNA-27168
Source: RNAcentral
UCCCAGGGAGGCGUCCCAGCUAGCACGC